GUGGUUCAGUGGUAGAAUUCCUGCCUUCAGUGCAGGGGCCCAGGUUCCAUUCCUGGC
Molecule: transfer RNA, 57 nt
Filed under: Loxodonta africana (African savanna elephant)
Lineage: Eukaryota; Metazoa; Chordata; Mammalia; Proboscidea; Elephantidae
Rfam family: tRNA
About the family: Transfer RNA (tRNA) molecules are approximately 80 nucleotides in length.
Source: Rfam by way of RNAcentral